RNAcentral lists this long non-coding RNA (6699 nucleotides) under Pelobates cultripes (western spadefoot toad). The record is from RNAcentral. Lineage: Eukaryota; Metazoa; Chordata; Amphibia; Anura; Pelobatidae.
AAAAAAAAACGCAGCUCUGUGGAUCCUAGUGUGGUCUCUUUGUAUGUCAGUUAGUGAGUAGAAUGUUGAAUGUGAUCAUCUUAAGAUGUUCCAUUUCCUGUACACAGUCGUAACAGGGCAGGGAGGGAGAGCGUGCACAGCAUACAAGUCUUUUCAAGCAGUUGGAUGCUACACCUGUGACCCCAGCCCUGUGACUGCUGUCCAGAAACAAACAUGAAGUCCAAGCGGAUAUUUGCGUCAACUGUCCUACUGACCCAAGUCCUGGAGACAGGUAACUUGAAAUUACCUAUGUUAGCAGCAUUUGUAAAUCAGACUAACAUUUGCGAGAUGGCUCUUGUCUUGAAACGUGCUUCUGGUGGGGUGUCCUCUUAUGAGACAAUCAAAAUACUUGCUGCGGUAAAUUGUGUUUAAUAUUUGGGGGUCCAGGUUUGCGUGACAUGAUUUCUCCCCAAGGCAUCAACGUGAAUUUUCUUAAAAAUAUUUCAAUGGCAAUCAGUUCAGAAACAUGUUAUGGAGCUCUUUAUAUAAGUCUAAUUUGGCCUUUUGCGUUUUAGCGUGCUGUAACAACGAUUAUCAAUAGAUGUGCCCAGAUACUUUGAUAAGCACAGUCUGUAAUAUUAGCGGCUGCACAGAUACUUUCAUGGGAGAACUGGUUCUGUUUUUUCAGAUCACUGCUGUACACAGGUUGUAACUUUAGAGUAUGUCGGUUUUAAUUUCACUACGUGUAUUUUACCUUUCAUUUUACCUUUCAUUUUCUACUUUAACGGUGUUAUUAACUACAGUGUGAACAAUCAGCAAUUCACAGUGAAUUUUAGACUAAAAAAGCUAAAUUGAAAAACAUCCAACGUGGCUGGCUAUGUUUUCAGCUCAGCAUGGCCUAAAAUAUCAAAAAUGUAUUUGCAUUUACUUUGUAUUCCACUUGCAUUCACAUUUUAGUGUAUACCUAUGUGCAUAAUCCCCCAGAUUGUGUUUCAUGAAACAAUGUUACGUUAUUUGUUCAGUCGAGUAAUUAAAGUUUAUUGAAAUAGUUUUAAUAAAAUUGUAGAAAGCCUUCACAGGAUUGAAAGGCUUAAAGCAAUAAAUGCAUAGUUCCUCUGCUUUUACACUUUCUAGUUAUGGAAACUUGAUUUGGAGAACCCUUGCAAGAGAUAUUUAGAACUAAAACCACUGGUUACAUUUAUUUAUGUAGUACGGACAUACCUCAAGGUUUUAGGCCACUCAGUUUCAUGUUUAUGUGAAGAUCAAAGGUUUUAAACUGCUUCUUACACCUGCUGAGUGCAACUAUCUCUAUCUGAUUUAUUGUCAGAAUACUCUCUUCCCCUCUGGUUCGUAGAUAUCAGUAGCAUUGCUCAGACAAAGGCCUACAAAAUGGAAUACCGGAAGUAUUGAGAUGUUGGGGUCUGUAACAAAAUAGAUGAAGGCUAACAGAGCUCAGUGUAUCUUUGUAUAUGUUAUAGAUCUAGCAGUAAGUAAUGAGAUACUAUUUUAGUGGACCUUAGUCUUGAAUACAGAACUUUAGAGAUGAAAUCUGAUCCACAAAUAAAAUACACAGCGGCCAUCUUUGUUUUUCUUUCUUUCUUUCCUCUGUGAUUCAUUCUUCUGUUGUUAAAUUAAUUCAGAGACUCAUUCUUCAACAAUAAUAUCAUAUAUUAUAAAAUAAAUAGUGAACAUCCAUUGCAUGGGUACAGGCAUUACUGCCGUUUGGGGGGCAUCUGCCUAUGGUCCGAUGAAUAUAAAAGUCCUGCUCCAGUCAUUGUGGGUUCACUGAAAACAGCAUUGGAACUUGAAACAGGGCUAAGGAACACUGGUCAUUAAACGUUUUGCCCCAGUUUUAUUUUAAAUAAAAUAAAAUCCGCUGGCACUGUAAGGACUACUAAAUUCUGUGUUAGAAAAAAUAUGUGUCUGACAUGAUUUAUAUCUGCAGUGUCUAAUCUCCACUUCAUCGAUGACUGGAUGUGCAGCUAGUUUUGCAGAUGGCUUGGCAUCUGAUGGAAUUAAUCGGGUAUAGCCCAACAAGUUUGGGGGGAAGGGAGACAGUGCCCCACCAUCUUAAAACAUCACCAGCCGCCACUGCUCUUGGUUCUCAUAACAUGGUGAUACAACAGUACUUUUCAAACCAGAUUUUUCAGCAAGGAAGCACGCCGUGUUGGCGUUCUGAGUAUACAUUACCUACAGGAUUUUCACUGAAGUGUGAAUGGUCUGAACUCAAACCAUUUUAUAAAAUUUUAUAAAACAACAACAACAAAAAAUAAAGAAAUGGAGAUUUUUUUCCCCCAAUAUGGCUGUUUUGGCCUAGAUUUAGAAAUUCGCUAUGAAUUCGGAAUAAACCUGCUAGCGUUUCAUUGUACGCAGAUGCUAAACUUCACACUCACAUAAUUACUCUAACAAGGGUAGCCACUAAAGUAUUCAAAGUUAAUCCAAAGUGAAUUCCAGCAUUUUAUGCUAUGAAAUAAUAUAGGCUGAUAUAUAAUAGUUAUAAUAUAUCUGUAUGUCCAGGCUUUUAGUUCGGCUGUUAACAUGUAAAAUCAGUUUGAUUUCCUUGCAAUUUACACUGCCGUAAAUAAACCUGACAAUAUUUUAAUAUGCUGCGUCAGUACAGAUUUCUUUCCUUACAAUUGUUUAAUGACAAUAUAAUUAUGAAUUAGAGUAGCAAUUAAUAUAUAAAAGAAAUGGGAGCCGUUCACACAGUUUAUGUUUGUGGCCUGAAUUGAAUGUGUGAUAUAAGUGCCCCAACUCAAACUGUAUUUUAUUUAGAUAUAAAUUGUGGUAAACAAACUGUAAAUAUCAAGAUAAAAUAGUUACAUGAUACAUUACAAUCAUUACGUAUAAAAUUACAAUAAAAAAGUCUAAGUCUUAAAAUGUUCUUUUUUGACGGCUGUGGACAUGACACAGUUUUCUGAAUGUCUCCAAUCUUUACGCUGUUAGAUUAACGUUUUGGAGCUGUGUCGAUAGCUGAGCAGGUGUAAGAGUGGGAUUUAAAAGUUCCAGUUAUCUUAACAUUGUCUCAUUUUAAAUAAUUGUCUUAGCCUUUCAGGUCUAUGUACUAAAGUGAGAAUAUCAAGUGGAUUUUAAAUGUAAGACCAGAGUAGCCGAGCUGGAAGAAUAGAUGGUAUAGAUAAUUUAUCUGAUGCGGCUAAAACAUCUGGAAUUCACUUUGAAUUCUCACCUUAGUAAAUAACCCUGCUGACCUAAAUCAGACUGGAAAACACUAAAAAAGGACUGUAAAUUUUUAUUAUAUUCGCAAUAUUUGUGUUCUGAAAGACCUCUGAGAGUAGUGAGCAUGGUGAGCAUGGUUGUGGUGAGUGAUACUGGAGCUGGAUACAAAGUGUCCUGCGUGGAUAUUAUUCUAGAAUAGAUUAUACAAGUAGGUUGUAAACUCAGCUCAACAUAAUGCACUGUUACCAGGUAAUCAAUGAUAGAUGGACAGAUAGAUAGACAGACAGAGAGAGAUAAACAGACAGAUAGAGAGAGAGACAGACAGACAGAUAGAUAGACAGACAGACAGAGAUAAACAGAUAGACAGAGAGAGAGACAGACAGUCGGACGGACAGACAGAGAUAAACAGAUAGACAGAGAGAGAGACAGACAGACGGAAGGACAGACAGACAGACUGACGGACAGACAGACAGACUGAUGGACAGACAGACAGAAAGACAGAGAUAAACAGAUAGACAGAUAGAGAGAGAGACAGACAGACGGACGGACAGACAGACUGACGGACAGACAGAGAUAAACAGAUAGACAGAUAGAGAGAGAGACAGGCAGACAGAUAGAGACAGACAGACGGACGGAGGGACAGACAGAUAGAUAUUUUUCCAAUAAAGUAUCAGCCUACAGACACCUGCCUACACCCUGAAUGCAAAUUUAAUCUUAGAUAUUGUUUGGUAUAUGUUCUUCUUUUGUUACAUAGUAAUUAUAAUUUUUUCUUUGUGAAGAGAAGUAGUUAGAUAUGAUUCCAGAUGGGUUUUUUUGUGGUAGGUACUAGGGUUGUCUUAGCAUUCUGACAGAAAAACCGGACAAAUAAACGAUAGAUUUUGAGAGCGGCGUCAGAAUGAUAUUCUGGUGAUAUAAAUAGGAGGUAAAUAAUUAGCAAUCUAGACUGAGAUCACAUUAAUUUUAAGGUGUUUUAUAAUGGCCGCAUUACUAGUCGUUACUGUUCAGAAUCUUUGCACUAUUAAAAUAAGGACGCAGUAUAUUAUUAACAAUGUGUUUUCUAGACAGGAUGGCCUCCGUAUAGAAAAAUAAUCCCUUAAACAAUAAAUCUGUCUUGUGGAUCUAAAGAUGACUAGCAAUAAUCUGUGUCAAGUUAUAUCAAUUAUUUCUCCUUAAUUUAAUUUAAAAGCAAUUUUAUUUCAAAGCUGGAAAACUAAAAUGGCUGCUGUGCUGUCUAUAAACACUGAACUGAAAACUAAAUAUAUUGGCUCAAUAGCUAAGCAGCGACUAUAGCCAAAUUGGGGAAUAUGACUAUAUCAGACCAUAGCAGACGAUAUAUGUUAAUCUCUCUGGGAAACACCAGACACCAGGGAUACAGGAACACAGACAAAACACAUUGCUAAUAGCACAUACAACUGUACCACCAAACUUUCUAAAUAUCUCCUCAACUGAAAUAGACACAAAGAACACUUUUAGACACGACCUGUUUACUGAGUUGCAUGGUCAGUACAGAAGGCGGCUGCUUAAUCAAUGGAUGUUUGCUAAAACAAUAUAUUGUAUUGAACUCGAAUUAAAAUAAUGUUUGCAGACUAUAAAUUUCUUUAUGCGAUUAAUUCAGAAUUACAUAUUUUUAGUUACAAUUACACACAAAUGGUAUUUUAAGAACUUUAGUUUUAUAUCGUUCCUAUAUUUUUAAUAAUAAAAUUCAGUAUUAUUGAUUAUAGCCUUAUUAUUAGUGUUAGGUUAUUUACCCAAUCACCAUGUCAAUCGAGCCUUGUAUUGCUGAUUAUCAAUAAUGUUGUGCUCCCAUUGAUAAUGUCUCUGUGUGGACAUUGGGCAGAGGAAUUGGGGCCACAUGUCUAAUCUUUAAUGUAUCCAUCACUGCCAUUAAAACUCCAUUUACUUCCCUUAAAGCAACAACAACAUGAGUGUAUGGUAUACACGGUGGGUUUCUGUCACUGGUAGUUAUAGCUUUUUAACCCAGUUCUCCCUAUUACAGGACUGAAAUUUCCAUUACGUCAUGUCCCAGGUUGCUCAGUGCCAGAGAAUCCACUAAUAAAUGGACGGUUAAUUCACUGGAGCCAGAAAUGCCAUCAGACACAGGUCUGAGUUUGGGGAAUAACAAUUCUACCCUGAUCUACACGAUCUAGCUGCUGACUGAAUAGGAAUACUUAAAUAUUUUGACUCUUAUAGACAAUCCUACAGAGAGCUGAAGUCGUUAUCAUUAUUAUUUGGUGUUUAUAUAGUGCCAACAUAUUCAGCAGCCCUGUACAAUACACAGAGUACAGACAACUAAUGAACAUGUACCGACGAUAAAAAUGGAGUAGGAGACCCUAGAUCCUAAUCUAGAUAUGUAAUUAUGGCUGUGUAAAAAAUGUGGAAUGUGAAAUGAAAAAAAUAGAUGCCAUGUUUUAUUUAUAUUUAUUUUUGUACAAUCUUUAUUUAUCAUUUACAAUACAAGAUGCUAUAUUUUAAACCCCUUUUCUGCUGUGGAACAGGAUGAUCCCGAAGGUCUUAUUUGACUAAACUCUAACUUUCAGUAAAAUAAAAAACGUUUUGUAAAAUUCACAGAAACAGCCAAGCGAUAUAGUACUAUGGCUGAGAUGGAAUUCUUUUACAAAUUGUUGCCUAAUUGGUACAAUUCAGUUUUAAUUUCACAACAAUUUGUUUUUUUAGCAAAUAAUCUCUUCACUCUGUCCACUAAUGGUUAUGGGACUGAGUGUGUGUGGAUGCCAUCCCCUGGUAUAUACUGGUACUGAUCUGGGCACAGACGUUUUUAAAAAGCAGAAUUAACACUUCUGCAUAAUCAAUAACAAUUUUAUCCAGCCUGGAUGGUAUUGAUUGGCUGAGAGUGCUGGGGAUGGGUUUAUUGAGCCCUCAAUGGGUCCUGGAAUACGAAUUAUCUGGUAAGGAGGAUAGAUACAGGUAGAGAGUUAUUCUGGAUUAACCUCUCAGUUUGUAUUCAUAUGGGCAACCUUUAUAAUAGUCAAGUUUCUAAUUUUGGGAAAUAGAGUGGAUAGUUUUUAGUUGAGGCUACACAUCCACCACUACCCAAGAAAAGGGGUUCAGUUUGGUUGUCAUCCUCCAGCUGCUAAACCCCAAAUACUCUGCGUGAAACAGUGCUAUUUGGUAGCUUUAUUUAUCACUGAGUACCAAUGGCCAGUAAAGUAAGAGUUUCCGCUUACAAAGGACAUCAUUGGUCUGAUUUCUCCUGUCUCGCUUCCAGGAGACCCAAACCUCGGUUUGUGAGGUUGGAAGAACUAUAAGAAGGAGAUACAUAUCUUGACUUCGAAAAACAUCAGAUCGGUGCAAAGAUAAUAUUAAGGCAAGAAAAAAAUCAAACAAUAAAGGAAUUCCCUUUGACCCAGAUAAAUGGACGAACGCCCCUUGUGCAGAAUGAUUAUAUCAGCCUGGCGUGUGAAUGAAGGCUUCACAGACUGCGGUGGAGUUCUGCAGUUGCCUUAUACUAACGCAAUUUGACCAACACAAGGGGAGCGGAAGGAAAUAAUACAAUUUGUGAAUGUUUCGUUCAAGGCCAGCCACAAG